Molecule: non-coding RNA, 14016 nt
Organism: Durio zibethinus
Lineage: Eukaryota; Viridiplantae; Streptophyta; Magnoliopsida; Malvales; Malvaceae
Source: RefSeq, a predicted model, not a curated record
CAAACCCAUCCAUCUCUCUAUCUCUUGCUGUUCAUAUAAUCUCUCUCUUCACCCUUUUGCAACUAUUUUUUUUCACCGUUCUCUAACCCAUCUAUCUCUCAUUUCAUCCUUCAAUCUUUCACACCAUCUUUGUCUCCCACCUUUUUACAGAUUUUUUUAAUUUUUUAUUAUUUCUUCAAUGCCCAUAGACUAAACAUGUCUUUUCAAAUGAAUUCUUCGUUACAAUCGCUUUGAUCCAUCCCUUUUGAUGAAAACCUGUAAUAUGCCCUGAGGAAUUUCUACCAGCAAAAAUGUCUACUUAUUUUUUACCUUUGGUUACGAUUAUGGCUGAUUUGUCCAUGCCUCAAUUUCUUAAAGGAAUUUUAUAUGGGCUGAUUUAAUCAUAUUAAUGACAACUUAUGGAGUACCUAUGAAUUUUGAAUCAUUUAAUGGUAGAAUUCCCUGAAAAUAAUUGUGGUGUUCAUGUUGCAGGUCCUUCAAAUAAGGCAUGUGAUUUAAAUGUUGAAAGUGUUGUAAUUAUGGCUGCUUUGUUUGAUGCCUUUGAAUUUACUCUUUAUGGUAUUUUUUUCUUAAAUAUGAUAUUCUUGAAUUUUUUUUGUUAUUUUAUUGACAAAUUUUGCUUGGAUUUUAGUCUUUUUUGUUGACAAAGGUUAUGUUGGUGAGACAAAUCUUUUAUUGAAACUUAAUUAACAUAUAUAUGUAUGUGUGUGUGUUACUUCAUCAUUUCUCAAAGAAUUCAAUUUGUGUACAAGCCCUUGAGAUUGCAAAGGCAUAAUUAUUAUAAUUUGUGUACUUAUAUGGUGUAUUUUAACUCUUUAUAUAUAAGAUGUUGGUAUACAAACCAUUGUAGAAAUAGAUCUUUUUGUUGUUAAAUACUAAAUCUAUGCCUAUGGUGAUUCAUGAAAUAAAUUUAAGCUUAACUUAGUUUGAUGAGAAUGCUACUAACUUUGUCAUUGAAUGGUUGAAAGUGGAUUUCCAUAAAGAUUUGAAUAAUGCUAGAAUAAAACAGUAAAAUAACUGUGAGGAGGUUUGCAAGACAUAUUAAGGUUUUCUUAAGUGGUUUUGGCUCUAUAGGCAAUAUGUUAUUAAAGUUGUUUUUAUUCCUCUAGGAUACCCACUUCCAAUAAAAAUAGUAAAAAAUAAACAAGUGACGUUUUGCUUCAAUUUAAAUUUUUAUCUUUAUUUUAUUGGUUUUAUUUGUAUGAUAUUUAAUGAAAAACAUUUUUUUUGACUUAUUUAUCUGUUAUGGCAAUGACUUCAAUCCUUUACUCCUCUCUAUUACACUGAAGAUAAACUCAAACAACCUAAGGUCGAUUUAUUUUUUUAUUUUUAGUUACUAUAAUCUGUGAAAUUCAUAACUUUGACAUGUUAUUAACACUAUAUUUUGUAACUUUCUUUCUUUGAAGCUAACUAAUAUAUACAUGUUGUGUCUUCUAAGAAAAGAAAUACAAGUUUUGGAUAUUAGAUACAAGUGAAAAAUUAGAACCACUUGGAAAAAGAAGAUAGAAGAAUAAAAUUGUAUAUAUAAAAUAAAUAAAUGAUUCUAAUUUUAGAAACUCAUUGAUAUCAAAUGCGGUUUUAACUAAGAUGCUAGGUCAAGAGUUAUUAAACAAAAUGUUGGAAUAUUUGUGUUUGUGAAAUAUUUAAGGAGGAUUAGUUUUAAAUGCUAUCAAAUUUCUUUCACAUGCUAAAGUUAAGGGUUGUGCUAUUACUGAUAAAUGAUUAUUUCCUUUGAGCAUAUCCUUGUAAGAUAAUUGUCACGAGAAUCUAUACUUAUAAUAAAAAUUAUCUCCAAUUGAGCUUUAAACAUCCAUCUCAGCAAUGUCUUAAACAAAAAUGAAGGGUUAAAUUUGGGAAGAAACAUAUUUAAGCUUUCAACAUAACGCAUGCCUAACACCUGUUUAAUAAAAACUUAUAAAGAGUCGCCAGGUUUGAGAAUGACAAAAUAUAGAGUGAGAGGUAUUUGGGACUCGCGGACAUCAUUCACUUCUCUAUUUUUGAGGUAUCUAGAUAGAGUGCACUGUUUGGAGUUUCAGUUUGUUGAGCUGGUUUUAUAUGUAAGUUCUGUGAUUUUUUUUGUUGAUUCUUGUGAAACACUUGUCAAUGAAGAUGAUCUUAACUCAUAUGAAGUUCUUUUGUAGUUAUUGAUCAUAUCUUGAAUUCUUUUUUAUGAAAGUUCAUGCAAGUUCAAUACUUGCAUUAAUUGCAAGGAAUUUCUAUUCAGUGUUUGUUCCACUGUUCUUCAGGUUUUCUGCUGCAUUUUAAAUAUGCGUUUUAGUUCUUUACUUGUUCUUACAACUUCAUUUAGAUACAGAUUCAUUUGUGUAGCUUAGAGUUCCAAACCGUUAAGUAUCACGCUGUAGUUUCAUUUUCUGUUCAUGCAAAUUCAGUGCAGGUGGUAACUGCAAACAUUUUCUGUUCAAGUGUUGCUCCACUAUUUUUCAAGUUUUUUGCUGCAUUUUAAAUCUUCAAUUAGUCCUAUAAUUGUUCAUACAAAUUUCAUUUUAGAUAUAAGUUCAUUUGUAUAGUUUAGAGCUUCAUGCUGUUGUGUAAUGAUGCAAUUCAUGUACGUGUUUGGUUCUGUUCAUUGUUGAUACAUUUUCUUUACACUUUGGUUUUUGCAUUUUAGUUUUUCAUUUAAUGCCUUUAUCUAGUUCUUCAUUUUGGAUAAGUAAAGUUCUAUUGAUUCAUCAUUAGAAGACAAAUCAACUUUAGCAUUCAAGUUACUUCCUCGUUGCUACUGGUGUGACGUUUUACGGUUUAGUUUUGAUUUCAUGCAAGCUUUGAUCUAUUCUCUGAGCUUCUGUUUAGUGCAAUUGUGACUUCACUAGUUAAUAUAGGUUGAACAUUCGUUAAUUAGUUUUCAGCUAGUGUACUCAUUAUUUUCAGGUUUCUAUCUUAGCCACUGUUCUCUCUUAGCCUCAUGCAAAAGUCAGUUUAGGAUUAGUUUUGGUUGCAUUUGAAAUUUUAACUUCCAUUUCAUUAUAGGCAUCAUUGCCAGUUUAUAUUAGAUGUCAUUUUCAUGUUCCAUAAUUCUAGAAUUUUAGGUAAUAUUUGUAUGUAAUUGUGUCACUGCCUUUCAUACUCACUUUUUCAUUUUGCAUUUUAUUACAUGUUCUUGAAUUUUUAGAAUUAAUCGUACAAGAUUUAGUUGUCAAUUUAGCUGUCAAUUAGAUUAAUCAUAGUGAAAUUUUAAUUGGAAUUUUUUUUGGUUAAUUUUUCCAUUGCAUUUUAUUUUCAUAGUAUUAAUUUCAUUUUUUUUAUGGUAUGUUUUCUUAUUUGAUUUUAGUUGUUAAUUUUAUAAGAGUUACUUUUUUAUAGAUAUUGAUUGUUCAAAUCAACUUUUGAUAGGGUAUAAGAUAAAGGUACUUAGAUUAAGAAUAUCUUUAACUAAUCUUUGUGGGAUUGACAUUUAGACUUUUAUAAUCUCUAGUAUCACUUGAACGGCCUGUGCACUUACAGGAUUUUCCAAUCAAUUAUUAACCAGUUAGUUUGCUAACAUCAUUCUUGGGUGUUUUGCUUUGCUCGCUAGAAUAAACUUUUGAGAGAUUGCUUGGGUCAACUUUCUCAAAAUAAACGCCCAGUGGUCAAAGAAAGAUGUUGAAUAAACAACGGUUCCUUAAUUCAGAAAGCAAUCAUUUGGUCUUAGGCAUCUAAUUUUCUUAAUAGUGUUCAAUUUCAUUUCUUGGGUUUUAGAUAUAUGUAUGUAUUUCAAAUGAAAAUGAUGGGUUUUGAAGUGUUUUAGUAGAAAGUGAAGGUUUUGGUUGAAAUAGAGAUGAUUGUAUCAUAAAAUUAGCUGCCAUUUUUCUUAUGAGAAGAGAAGCAAAGCAAAAAAGUGUUUCAGAGUUUCUUAGAGAUUCUGCUUUAUAAAAUUGAAGUUGUAUGAUGUUAUUUAAUCUAAGCAGCUACCCGAUCGAUAUCUCUACCAGAAAGCUAAUCCCUAGAAUCUUUAAUUUAUUUUCUCCGUUUCUUGAUCAAUUUUUUCUCUCAAAAACUUUUGGAUCCCAAGUUCACCGACAAGGCAAGUCUUUACCUUGCAUGUUCUUUUUUUUUUUUUCCUUAAAUUCUCUUUAAUUGUUUCGAUAAAGGUUAGUAGAUUUUGCUGUUGUCGUUGAAGAACUUUGGUGGCAGGUUUUAAAUUAUGCAAGGCUUAAUCACAGUACAAUUUUGUUUUUCAAUUAUUUGAAACCAGAAACUACUGUUUCAGGGUGGAGUCGUGUUCGCUUAAAUGCUUCUAAAAUUGGGAAGGGAUUGUCUAAAAACACGAAAGCACAAAUUGGGUUUUCAACAUUGGAUUGAAGCUAUUGAUCCACAUCGUCGCUACGGGCAUAACUUGCAUAUUUACCACGAGGAAUGGUGUAAAGCUGAUGUUGGUCAACCAUUUUUCUACUGGUUAGAUAUAGGGGAUGGCAAAGAUAUUAAUCUCAAAGAAUGCUCAAGAUUGAAGGUUAAACAACAACGUAUUAAGUAUACUGGACCUUGAAGGAAAUGGCAUUAUAAGCACAUUGUUGUUGAGGGAAAGAUUAUCCAUAAACAAACCAGGAAAGUACUGGAUACAAUCUAAGGAUUGAAGGAGGGAAAAUGCAUAUUUGUUAUGAGCACCUCCAAGAAAUUGUAUGCCGACGAGGCUUGAAGAAGGUACUAAAUGCAGAAGAAGGGGAGCUGAUUGGUCGUAUGAAGUCCAUUUUGUGACCAUUCAUCUUGAGUUGCUUGAAAUUAGAUGUGAUGCAGUAGCUCAUCUCAAAGAUACAAUUGAUUGCAUAGUAUUUUACCUCAAAGCUAUUUCAGCAAAAGCCCUCAUGGAUACAACAGAAUGUCAGGUUUGUGCCUCAUAUACAUUGUUCAAAUAUGACUCUCCCAUAGAUGUGAGGAUGAAAUUAGAAAAGAAGCAGCUAGAAGAGGGAGAUUGCUUACCAUCUGGUCAUGUCCCAACAUUAUCAAAAGAAGUUUGCUUACUUAUUAAACAUAAUGAUCUGAAAAGCCUAUAAGAUGUAUGGAAUAGUAUGAACCUUUCAAGACAUGAGGCUUUUUGUGAGAGGUUUGGACAUAUUGCAUAUUUCUUAUCAGUGAAGGUUGACCAUUCACUUAUCAAGGCGAUGGUAUAGUUUUGAGAUCUUUCUUAUUGAUGUUUCAUAUUUAAUGAGAGUGAUUUAGUACUAAAAUAAAGGAGUACUCAACUCUAGUGGGUAUGCAUCUACUGUAUCCAGAUAGAAUAUACAUGAAGAAACAUAAAUUAGGAAGUUGCAAGAAGCUGGGUCAAAUUCUAGGAGUAGGAAAGGAAGUCAUAGAUUCAUACAUCCGAAAAAAAAGAGAUCACAAAGGUAUUCCAUGAGAGGUUCUCCAAGAUUUCAUUACCAAGCAUUUAGAUGAUCAGGGAAUGAAUACAUUUACUCUAGCCAUAUAUGGGUUGGUCAUUUUUCCUAACAUUUUAGAUCACAUUAAGAUAAAAGUGGUAGAUUUAUUUGAGCAAAUUGAAAAGGGGUGUAAUUUUUCACCAGUUAUCUUGGCAGAAACCAUCAGAUCUUUGAAUUUUUGUAAGUAGAAUGACAAAACACAUUUCAUGGGCUACAUACCUUUAUUGUAUGUACGGAUGAAGAGCCAUUUCAAAUGCAAGAAAAGUGCAUUUACCAAACUUUAUUUUUGCACUCAAAGUUCGAUUAGGGAGUUUUAUCAAAGCAUUUGGCCAAAAGCAAAGACUUAGAAAGAGUUGAAGUGUCUGCUGCAAGGGUUCACCGCUAGUCAAGUAAAAUGGUUAGCUUUAUGGAUGGAUAGGGUACCUAUGUUGUAUCAAUGUGGAGUUAAGACAAGGGUCUCUCUUUUAGGCCUAUGGGGGUUGAUGAGUUAUGCACCAUUUAUGGUAAGGAGAUAGCAUGGAGCCGAACAGUUUACUUUUAUGACUUGCAAGCUUAGCUAGUUUGAUUGUUCAUAUGGGGAGCCUGAAAUUUUUCAAAAGAUUGAUAGCUUGAUUAAGGCUUGGAAUAAGCUUAAGAGAGUAAGCUUACGGCUAUUCAUUAAUAGAGUCACUCAAGGGCAUCUGAUUUGGAGAAAUAAAAAGGGUCAGGAAAGCCUAUUUAUGCCUUAAGAUCAUCACUUACCAAUGGUUCAAGUGUCAGAUAAUAAGCUUUUAGAGUUAGAGUAUGAAAGAGAGAAGGAGAAGCUAAAGCAAGAAACUUUGAAGCUAUAAGAAAAAAAAUAGUGGUAAAAUAAAGCUAAAAAAUUAGAAAUCCAAGUCCAUAGGAUUUUCAAGGAAUAUAGCAAGGUCCAAAAAAUUGUUAGAGAAUAAGAUGAUACCCUUAAGGAGUUGAAAGAGAUACGAAAGGCGUAUAAGAGGUUACAUAUACAGGUACAAGCCAAAGAAAUAAACAACACAGAGCUGGCUCAUAAGAAUGAAGAGUUGAAAAAAGAGCGUGCCCAAUAGAAGAUGACUUUAUGGAGGUUAAACAGGAAAACCAAAUGCCUGUAGAUUACAUUUUAACUCUGACAUUGAAGCUGAAUGAACAAAAAAAUCAUGUCAAAACCUUCAUGAAAAAGCAUAAAAAGUUAUCCUAAUAGGUGUGGUGCGACAAAAAAGCAAGGUUGGAAAGAUAAAGAUACAUAGAGCCCCUCACAGCUCAGAUAGGUAAGGUGUGAUCAAAGCAAGUGAGAUGGUAGAAAAGGUUGAGGCACUGAGAGUUUCGGUUACACCAAUAGGGGAGCAUGGAUAGAGGUUGCUAAAUUUCAUUAAGGAGGCUAAAGAUCAGUAUGAGCAAGUUAGGUGUUUUUAUAAAGGGAUCGUAUUAGAUUUGAUGUAAAAUAGACUCCUGUGGAAUAAAUGAAAAUUUUUUUUUGUUGAAUUUUCUUUUAAAAGGGUAAAUAUUAUUUUUUUUAUUUUUCAUGCAUUUGCAUCACACUCAUUCAUUCAAUCAUUGUCAUAACAUCAUUAUUGAAUCUUCAAUUGUGGUAUUAAAGUAUAAGAAUAGCUACACAUCCAUAUAAUCCAUAUAAUACUCAGGGUAAAACUAAGAAAAUGGAGUAAAACAAUGCGAGUCCUCUUGAAAAGAUAAAAAAAAGCCCAAGAAGCACUUGAAGAAAAGUUGAGUAAACUUUUAAAAGCCCUGAAAAAAAUAAAUAGAGGGAAAUCGAUGGAAGAUGAUACUUCACAAGAAGCUACUGAAUUAACAUAUCUCUUAGGCUUCAGUUUACAACAGAAUCAAACUAUCCUAAUUUUCUAACCUUAACAAGUAGCUUUUUCAAAAUACAAUUACCCAAGAGUGACUUAUGCAUCUGGUCAUAAGAACGUCCAAAGUUAUGACAAUCUUGUUUAUGCUGAAAAGAUAGCGAAACCCAUUCAACUCCUUACUGCAGAUGAAUCAAAAGAGAAAGAGAAGCCACAAACAGUUAUGCCCUUGGAGAAUUUUAAGACUGAUCAUGCAAUGAAUAGGUUUAAGGAAAGAUUGAGGGCUGUAGAGGGAAUGGAUUUUUUAUGGAUCUAUGAAUGCAAUAGGAUUUUGCCUAGUACCAAAUGUGGUGGUGCCACCCAAGUUUAAAGUAUCAAAGUUUGAAAAGUAUGACGGUACUAAGUAUCUUAUUACACAUAUCACCAUGUACUAUCGUAAAAUGAUGGCACAUGCUAGUAAUGAGAAACUGUUUAUGCAUGUGUUUCAAGACAGCUUAACUAGAUCUACAACGAGGUGGUAUGUUCAAUUAGAUAGAACUCGUAUAAAGAUAUAGAAAGAUCUGACUCGAUCUUUUAUUAAUCAGUAUCACCAUAUCAUUAACAUGGUUCCCAAUCAUUUUUUCCUGCAAGCAAUGGAAAAAAAGGCAUCUAAAUCCUUCAAGCAAUAUGCCCAAAGGUGACGGGAUGUAGCUGACCAAGUAUAGCCUCCCUUGAUGGAAAAAGAAACUAUUGUGUUGUUUGUGAGCACUUUAAAAUCGCUCUAUUAUGAAAGAAUGAUUGGAAACGUGACAAAAAACUUUACUGAUAUAGUGAUUUCGAGAGAGAUCAUCGAAAAUGCCAUAAAAAAUAGUAAGCUUGAAUGAGGUGAAUCUUUUAAAAAAGCACCUAAGAAGAAGAAGAAAAGUGAGACUCACACUGUGAGCCUUGAAGGUUAGUAAUUUAGACAUUACUCUCAGCUUACCUACCCUACAUACCAUCACAUAGUGAGCCAUAUUUUUACAUCUUCUUACCAAUCAACCACUCGACCAUCUUAUCCAUAUUCACCAAGAUCCCUUCCUCACCCAAUCAGCAUUACAAGUAAUGUCAGAGAAGAACAAACCAGGGAAAGACCCACUUUUGAUCCUAUACCUAUAAGCUACAUAGAGUUUUAUCAAGAACUCUACAAAAACCAUUUAAUUGCUCUUGUUCCUGCCAAAUAGCCUAAACUUCCUUAUCCCAAAUGGUAUGAUGUCACUGCCCAUUGUGACUACCAUUAUGGAAUAACGGGUCAUUCUACUAAAAAUUACCUUUAAAAUAAAAAGUGCAGCAUCUGAUUAAAGAAGGGUUGAUAAGUUUUGAUACCAAUGGGAGCUCAGCACCUAUAGUAGGAAUCUCUUGUCCAGUUAUAUAGUCAAUGCCCUGGACAAAGAUAAGAGGCAUAUAAAAAGAAAGGUAAAAGAGAUUAAACUGCUUUAUGAUACCUUAUACGAAGCUAGAUUGAUACAACCAAUGACUCAAUGCACCUACAUAAGAGGAUGCAUCCCCAAUCAAAGGUGUAAGUAUCAUAGUAGAGCUCAAUGGCAUUCUAUUGAGAAAUGUCGACAAUUUCACUAAGGUGCAGAGAUUAAUAAACUUUUACCAAAUAGAGUUAUAUGAGGAAUUAAGAGCCUCAAAAAACAUUAAGGUGGUUAUGAAGAUAGGUGGGUGUCAAAACUUAUCACUAUAUGUUGUAAGGAGAUGACACAAUCAGUUGAGAGCAAGUUUGUUUCCAAACCAGUAGCUUUUAGAGUCUCACACCCAUUUUCUUAUAAAGAUAAUAAAGUGGUGUCCUGGAGAUAUGAGUGUGAGGUGACAGCUUAGGGGUAGCAAAAGGAUAUGCCAAAAGGUAAAACUGUCCAUAUAACGGGUGUACUGGGCAUACCUAGAAGUAGAAGAUGUUAUACUCUGGAUAUUUUAGAAAAAGCAAAAAAAAAAAAGAAAGGAUAAGCAAAUUGAACCACAGAUUCCAGGGAAAUGUCUCGAAGUAUGUGCCUAAAAAUGAGGCCUGUGAAUUUUUAAAGUUGAUAAAACAUAGUGAAUAUUCUGUAGUAGAACAAUUAAAUAAGAUGCCAGUUAGGAUUUUUCUGUUCUCACUCUUUUUAAAUUUGAAACCUCAUCGUAAUACUUUGUUAAAGAUAUUAAAUCAAGCUUAUGUGGGCCAUAAUGUAUCAGUGGAAUAUAUGAAUCACUUGGUAAGAAAUCUAAUGAUGCCAUAUCAUAUCUCUUUUAAUGAUGAUGAGAUUCCACCUGAGGUAAAAAGAGCACUAAAGUGUUGCACAUCACUGUCAAAUGUAAGGGCUAAAUAGUAGCUAAGGUCUUCAUUGAUAACGGAUCAGCUACUAAUGUCAUGCCUAUGUCCAUUUUAACCAAGCUACCCUUUGAUAUGUCCCAUAUCUAAGACAGUCAAAUGGUGGUCCGAACGUUUGAUGAGACUAGGUGAAAAGUUUUGAGAGAUGUUGAGUUAUCUAUGCAGAUUGGGUUAUGUGUCUUUAAUAUAAAAUUUCAAGUUAUGGAUAUCUUCUUAUCAUACAAUUACUUAUUGGGGAGGUCGUGGAUCCACAAAGUAAGUACCCUUCCAUUCUCGUUGCAUCAAAAUAUCAAAUUUAAUGUGAAAGGACAGUUGGUGAUUAUGGCUGAGGAGGAAGAUUUACUAGUGACCCAACCCAUAAAUAUCUCAUAUGUGGAAGCAACAGAAGAAUGAUUGGAAUGCUCUUACUGAUCUUUUGAAUCCGUUAAUGUAGUAGGUGAAGGAUUCAAGUUUAAUCGGAUCGUGAUCAAUUAGAUGAUUAAAAAGGGUUGAAGUAUUGGGUUCGACUUGGGCAAAAGACUUCAAAGGAUAAGAGAGCUCCCUAGGAUUAAGGAUUACAAUUGCAGAUUAAGAUUGGGUUAUGAGAUGGAGGAAUGGCAAGACAACAGCAAAAAAGUAUAGAAUGGGCUAAUGAUUUUCCCUCAUUUAAAUGAAACUUUCAUACCUGGAGGAUACAUGCAAGAAGGCAUAAAAGAAGAGCCAAAAUGGGAUGAAGAUUUUACCAAGUUGUCCAUUAACAUGGUGGGUGAUGAAAGUCAAAAUGAGGAAGCUUUGGUUUACCAUUACAUGAUUGAAUAUGAAUUACAGAAUUGGAGGGUCAGCUAAAUGGCUAUUGUUUUCGAUUUUUCUUUAAUGUAAUCACAUUUCCUAAUCUCUUAUGCCCAAAAGCAUUGGGAUGAACUCUUAUGUUUGGGCUUUUUAUUUUUCAUUAUUUCAAUAAAAGUAGGAGCAUUCAUUUUUCUUCUAUUCCAUUCAUUACUCAAUCAAAAUUUCUUGCCAAUAUUUUCCACUUUAUUUUCAGGUCCUUAAAUGAAUAUGAAGAUAAUCAUGACAAUAAUUCAGGGUUUAAUUUUAAAAAUUUGAUUAAUACUGAUGAGCUUGAUACUGAAGAGGACUUUGAGGAAUAUACUUUGUCACCAGAUUUAAUGAGGCUAAUUGAAUAGGAAGAUAAAUCCAUUGAGACUUAUCAAGAAGUUAUUGAAUUGAUCAAUUAGGGUGAUGCUGAAAAUAAAAAAGAAGUCAAGAUUGAUACUUCACUUUUAACAGUUGAUUGGUAGUGGUUAAAGGAGUUGCUUCAAGAAUUUGUGGAUGUAUUCGUCUGGUACUAUCAAGAUAUGCCUGCACUCAGCAUUAAGAUAGUGCAACAUAGGCUACCAUUAAAGUCAGAAUGCAAAUCGGUGUAGCGAAAGCUAAAGAGAAUGAAGCUGAAAAUGCUGUUAAAAAUCAAAGAGAAAGUUAAAAAACAGUUUGAUGCAGGUUUUUUGCAAGUGGCAAAAUAUCCUGAAUGGGUGGCUAAUAUUGUACCUAUCCUCAAAAAAGAUAGAAAGGUACAGAUGUGUGUAGACUAUAGAGAUCUGAACAUAGCUAGCCCUAAAGAUAACUUUUCUUUGCCUCACAUUAAUACUUUGGUAAAUAAUACAGCCUGACAUUCGGUAUUCUUUUUCAUGGAUGCAUUCUCUAGUUAUAAUCAAAUAAAGAUGACCCGAAAUGAAAUGGAAAAGACCAUAUUUAUCACUAUGUGAGAAACUUUUUGCUAUAAGGUUGUCUUUUGGACUAAAAAAUACUGGGACAACUUAUCAAAGAGCUAUGGUAACAUUUUCAUAAUAUGAUGUAUAAGAAGAUUAAAGUGUAUGUUGAUAUGAUUACCAAAUCUCGAAAAAGAGAAGAUCAUGUGGUUAAUCUUAAAAAAUUAUUUAAGAGGUUGAAGAAGUUCUAGCUUAAACUGAAUCUAACCAAAUGUACAUUCAAAGUCAGGUCGGGGAAGCUGUUAAGAUUUAUAGUCAGUAAAAGAGGGAUAGAAGUGGAUCCAGACAAAAUUUAAUCUAUCCAUAAUUUAUCUUUGCUAAGCACAUAAAAAGAGGUUUGAGGUUUUUUGGGCAAAUUGAACUAUAUAUCCUGAUUCAUUUCUCAACUCACUCUUAAAUGUGACCUCAUUUUCAAAUUUUUUUGAAAGAAUAAUCCUAGGGAGUGGAAUGAAUAAUGCCCAAAAGCUUUCGGUAAGAUUAAGCAAUACUUAUCAAAUCUUUCAAUAUUAGCACCUUUGUUUUAGGAAAACCAUUGAUUCUAUACAUUAUGGUACAUGAGGGAUCAAUGAGAUGUGAGCUAGGCCAAUAAGAUAAAUUUGACAAGAAAGAGAAAGCUAUCUAUUACUUGAUCAAGAAAUUUACAGAGUAUGAGUCCAAGUAUUUAUCACUGAAAAAAAUGUGUUGUGCUUUGGCUUGGACAACUAAAAGAUUCAGGCAAUAUAUGCUUUACCAUACGACUUGGCUCAUAGCUAAAUCAGAUCCCAUCAAGUACAUCUUCAAGAAACCAUCACUAACAGGAAAAAUUGUAAGAUGGCAGAUGAUGCUUUCUGAAUACGACAUAGUAUAUGUGAGCCAAAAAGUAAUCAAAGGAAGUGUCAUUGCUGAAUUCUUGAUGGACAGGGCCACUAAUGAUUAUGAGCCCAUGAAACUUGAUUUUUCAGAUAAGGAACUAAUGGGCAUUUUAGAGUUAGAAGAAGAUGAUGAGGGGAGGUAUGUAAAAUGUAUUUUAAUGGGAUUGCCAAUGCCAUGGGGCAUGGGAUUGAAGUAGUUUUAAUAUCUCUAACUGAGCAUUACUAUCCUGUCAUAACAAUAUUGAACUUCAACUGCACUAAUAAUGUAGCUAAAUAUGAGGUUUGUGUUAUGGGAUUGUAUGCUGCUUUAGACAAAAAAAUUGAAACAUUAAGGGUGUUUGGGGAUUCAGCUCUAGUCGUUUAUCAACUAAAAGGUGAAUGGGAAACAAGGGAUUUCAAACUCAUCCCUUACCAUAAAUACAUCUUAGAGCUGUCUAAACAAUUCAAAGCAAUUUAGUUUGAACACUUGCCUCGUGAAGAAAACUAGAUUGCAGAUGCCUUGACUACUUUAGCGGCAAUGGUAUGGAUCGGUGAUACUGUUGAAAUUUAGCUUAUCAAACUAAAUAUUAAGGACAUGCCAGUACAUUGUGUCAAUUUAGAAAAAGAGAAAAAUGGUCGCCCCUGGUGCCAUGAUAUUAUACAAUAUCUAAAAAAUUAAUAGUACCCAGAUCUAGCAAUAGAAAAUAACAAGAGUUUUGUGAAGAUUGGCUAUGAGAUUUUUUUUAGAUAGGGAAAUUUUGUAUAAAAAAGGCAAAGAUCAAGUGUUAUUACGCUGUGUAAAUACCUUUAAAGCAAAAAAGAUUGUUAAGAAAGUUCACAACGACGUAUGUGGAGCGCAUACAAAUGGACAUAUAAUGGCAAGAUAAGUUAUGCAAGUUGGAUAUUACUAGUUGACAAUGGAAAAAGAUUGCAUUGAUUAUGCUAAAAAAAUACCACAAGUGCCAAAUUUAUGUUGACAAGAUUCAUGCUCCACCCAGUGCUUUACAUGUUAUAGUAUCCUCUUGGUCAUUUUUUAUGUGAAAAAUGGAUGUCAUUGGUCCCAUUACCCCAAGGCAUCAAAUGGGAAUAGAUUCAUUUUUGUGAUGAUUGAUUACAUCACUAAAUGGGUCGAAGUUGCCUCUUUCACAAUUGUGACUAGAUCAAUGGUCUGUAAGUUCACCAAAAGAGAAAUAAUUUACAGAUAUGGGCUCCCAAAAAGAAUCAUCUCAGAUAAUGUUAAGAAUUUAAAUAGCAAGAUGAUGCAAGAAAUAUGUGUUCAGUUUAAGAUCAAACACCAUAAUUUAGCUUCAUACUGCCCAAAAAUGAAUAAGACAGUAGAAGCUGUAAAUAAAAAUAUCAAAAGAAUUCUAGAGAAAAUGACAGAAACAUAUAAAGAUUGGCAUGAAAAAUUAUCUUUUGCUCUACAUGCAUAUCAAAUUUUUGUACGCACUUUUACUAGGGCAAUUUUUUUUUCUGGUUUAUGGAAUGGAAGCUGUACUGUCAAUAGAAGUAGAAAUCCUAUCGUUAAGGGUCUUAAGGGAAGUGAGAUUAGAAGAAGCUGAAUGGAUUCAGGAGCAUUAUGUGUAAUUGAACUUUAUUGAAGAGAUGAGAUUGAUGGUUCUUUGCCAAUGAACAAUUGUACCAAAGGAGAAUGAUAAAAGCUCAUGAUAAAAAGGUUAGACUUCGUCAGUUAUGAGAAGGAGAGUUGGUAUUGAAAAGAAUUUUUUCAAGUUAACAUGAUGAUAAAGGGAAAUGGACCUCGAAUUGGAAAAAACCAUAUGUUGUAAAACAAGCCUUUUCAGGAGGAGUUUUAAUUUUGUCAAAAAUGGAUGAAGAUGAACUUCCUAGUCCUAUUAACUUUGAUAUAGUGAAGAAGUACUUUGCUUGAAAAAAAAGAAGAAAAUAGGUUCAAGUUAAAAACCUGAGAGGACGGCUUGAACCAAAAAAAAAAAAAAGAGU